GUUCAUAGUUUCAACCUUUCGGUCAUUAAACAUUCUAGAUUAUAAGAAAAGGGUUUGUAAUAGGGAUUCGAUCCCCCAAAGGUGCACAAGUGUUGAAUAAGGACUAAGGCAGCGUGCACACCACGAAUAGCAGCACAGCAAACCCAUUUUCAUUAAUGAUCCUUCCGCAGGUUCACCUACGGAAA
Molecule: unclassified non-coding RNA, 185 nt
Filed under: uncultured fungus
Lineage: Eukaryota; Fungi
Description: sequence contains ITS1
Source: RNAcentral